This 486-nucleotide ribosomal RNA is filed under the name uncultured bacterium. Its description in RNAcentral is "bacterial SSU rRNA". It matches the Rfam family "Bacterial small subunit ribosomal RNA", at positions 33 to 507 of the family's 1533-position model. The record is from RNAcentral.
GACGACGCUGGCGGCGUGGAUUAGGCAUGCAAGUCGAACGGUAGGAUACCUUCGGGUAUCUGAGAGUGGCGAACGGGUGAGUAACACGUAGGUGAUCUACCCUCAAGAUUGGGACAACCCAGGGAAACUUGGGCUAAUACCGGAUGAAAGCAGCAGUGAUGUUGUUUGAAAGGUGGCGUAAGCUGCCGUUUGGGGAUGAGCCUGCGCUCUAUUAGUUAGUUGGCGGGUAAAGGCCCACCAAGGCGAUGAUAGAUAGGCGGCCUUAACGGGUGGUCGCCCACACUGGGAUUGAGAUACGGCCCAGACUCCUACGGGAGGCAGCAGUCGAGAAUAGUCUACAAUGGCCGAAAGGCUGAUAGUGCGACGCCGCGUGAACGAAGAAGCCCUUCGGGGUGUAAAGUUCUUUUAUAUGUGAGCAGUGCUUUCUAUGUGAACAGCAUGGGGAGAGAGAUAUUAGCAUAUGAAUAAGCAACGGCUAACUCCGUG